Molecule: ribosomal RNA, 465 nt
Filed under: uncultured bacterium
Lineage: Bacteria
Description: partial 16S ribosomal RNA
Rfam family: Bacterial small subunit ribosomal RNA
Source: RNAcentral
CUACGGGUCGCAGCAGUGAGGAAUUUUGCGCAAUGGGCGAAAGCCUGACGCAGCAACGCCGCGUGAGUGAUGAAGGCCUUCGGGUCGUAAAGCUCUGUCAAGUGGGAAGAACCUAUGUAAUGUUAAUAUCAUUAUAUACUGACGGUACCACUGAAGGAAGCACCGGCUAACUCCGUGCCAGCAGCCGCGGUAAUACGGGGGGUGCAAGCGUUAUUCGGAAUCAUUGGGCGUAAAGGGCACGUAGGCGGCCUGGUAAGGCAGAUGUGAAAGCCCGGGGCUUAACCCCGGAAGUGCAUUUGAUACUGUCAGGCUUGAGUAUGGGAGAGGGAAGUGGAAUUCCUGGUGUAGAGGUGAAAUUCGUAGAUAUCAGGAGGAACACCGGUGGCGAAGGCGACUUCCUGGACCAAUACUGACGCUGAGGUGCGAAGGCGUGGGUAGCAAACAGGAUUAGAUACCCUCGUAGUC